This 465-nucleotide ribosomal RNA is filed under the name Vreelandella stevensii. Its description in RNAcentral is "partial 16S ribosomal RNA". It matches the Rfam family "Bacterial small subunit ribosomal RNA", at positions 338 to 795 of the family's 1533-position model. The record is from RNAcentral. Lineage: Bacteria; Pseudomonadati; Pseudomonadota; Gammaproteobacteria; Oceanospirillales; Halomonadaceae.
CCUACGGGCGGCUGCAGUGGGGAAUAUUGGACGAUGGGGGGAACCCUGAUCCAGCCAUGCCGCGUGUGUGAAGAAGGCCCUCGGGUUGUAAAGCACUUUCAGUGAGGAAGAACGCCUGGUGGUUAAUACCCAUCAGGAAAGACAUCACUCACAGAAGAAGCACCGGCUAACUCCGUGCCAGCAGCCGCGGUAAUACGGAGGGUGCGAGCGUUAAUCGGAAUUACUGGGCGUAAAGCGCGCGUAGGUGGCUUGAUAAGCCGGUUGUGAAAGCCCCGGGCUCAACCUGGGAACGGCAUCCGGAACUGUCAAGCUAGAGUGCAGGAGAGGAAGGUAGAAUUCCCGGUGUAGCGGUGAAAUGCGUAGAGAUCGGGAGGAAUACCAGUGGCGAAGGCGGCCUUCUGGACUGACACUGACACUGAGGUGCGAAAGCGUGGGUAGCAAACGGGAUUAGAUACCCCGGUAGUC